Molecule: long non-coding RNA, 278 nt
Organism: Sinocyclocheilus grahami
Lineage: Eukaryota; Metazoa; Chordata; Actinopteri; Cypriniformes; Cyprinidae
Exons: 3
Source: RefSeq, a predicted model, not a curated record
GGUGACCUGCAACUGCUUCAGCAUCAGUGAUGGAGAGCUGCAGGACGUGGGGGUGGGACUUUACCUCAGCAUGUCUCUGCUGAACCAAGACUGCCAGCCCAACUGUGUCAUGAUCUUUGAGGGCAAGAGACUCACGCUGCGAGCUGUUCGGCUCAUCAGACCCUGUGAGGAGCUCACUAUAAGCUACACUGAUAUCCUUGCGACCAGCAAAGAGUGACGUUCCCAUUUACAGGAGCAAUACCACUUCCUGUGUCAGUGCACGCGCUGUACCACGGAGG